RNAcentral lists this ribosomal RNA (340 nucleotides) under Clostridioides difficile. RNAcentral describes it as "partial 23S ribosomal RNA". It matches the Rfam family "Bacterial large subunit ribosomal RNA", at positions 2582 to 2925 of the family's 2925-position model. The record is from RNAcentral. Lineage: Bacteria; Bacillati; Bacillota; Clostridia; Peptostreptococcales; Peptostreptococcaceae.
CGCCCAUUAAAGUGGUACGCGAGCUGGGUUCAGAACGUCGUGAGACAGUUCGGUCCCUAUCCGUCGCAGGCGUAGGAAAUUUGAGAAGACCUGUCCUUAGUACGAGAGGACCGGGAUGGACGUACCUCUGGUGUACCAGUUGUUCUGCCAAGGGCAUGGCUGGGUAGCUAUGUACGGAAUGGAUAAGCGCUGAAAGCAUCUAAGCGCGAAGCCAACUUCAAGAUAAGAUUUCCCACCGCAAGGGUAAGACCCCAGAAAGACUAUCUGGUUGAUAGGUCGAAGGUGUAAGUGCAGCAAUGUAUUUAGCUUAUCGAUACUAAUAGGUCGAGGACUUGACCAA